This 682-nucleotide ribosomal RNA is filed under the name uncultured bacterium. Its description in RNAcentral is "bacterial SSU rRNA". It matches the Rfam family "Bacterial small subunit ribosomal RNA", at positions 139 to 808 of the family's 1533-position model. The record is from RNAcentral.
UGGGAUAACACCUGGAAACAGAUGCUAAUACCGGAUAACAACACUAGACGCAUGUCUAGAGUUUGAAAGAUGGUUCUGCUAUCACUCUUGGAUGGACCUGCGGUGCAUUAGCUAGUUGGUAAGGUAACGGCUUACCAAGGCAAUGAUGCAUAGCCGAGUUGAGAGACUGAUCGGCCACAUUGGGACUGAGACACGGCCCAAACUCCUACGGGAGGCAGCAGUGGGGAAUCUUCCACAAUGGACGAAAGUCUGAUGGAGCAACGCCGCGUGAGUGAAGAAGGGUUUCGGCUCGUAAAGCUCUGUUGGUAGUGAAGAAAGAUAGAGGUAGUAACUGGCCUUUAUUUGACGGUAAUUACUUAGAAAGUCACGGCUAACUACGUGCCAGCAGCCGCGGUAAUACGUAGGUGGCAAGCGUUGUCCGGAUUUAUUGGGCGUAAAGCGAGUGCAGGCGGUUCAAUAAGUCUGAUGUGAAAGCCUUCGGCUCAACCGGAGAAUUGCAUCAGAAACUGUUGAACUUGAGUGCAGAAGAGGAGAGUGGAACUCCAUGUGUAGCGGUGGAAUGCGUAGAUAUAUGGAAGAACACCAGUGGCGAAGGCGGCUCUCUGGUCUGCAACUGACGCUGAGGCUCGAAAGCAUGGGUAGCGAACAGGAUUAGAUACCCUGGUAGUCCAUGCCGUAAACG